CCAAUAGCGUAUAUUAAAGUUGUUGCAGUUAAAAAGCUCGUAGUUGGAUUUCUGUUAAUAAUUUAUAUUAUAAUACAUUAAUGUAUUUAGUAUAAUAUUAACACAAUUCAUAUUACUAUAUUUUUUAGUAUAUGAAAUUUUACUUUGAGAAAAUUAGAGUGCUUAAAGCAGGCAAUAGCCUUGUAUACUACAGCAUGGAAUAAUAAUAAAAGAUUUUUAUCUUUCUUUUUUUAUUGGUUCUAAGAUAAAAAUAAUGAUUAAUAGGGACAGUUGGGGGCAUUUGUAUUUAA
Molecule: ribosomal RNA, 290 nt
Filed under: Cryptosporidium sp.
Lineage: Eukaryota; Apicomplexa; Conoidasida; Eucoccidiorida; Cryptosporidiidae
Description: partial 18S ribosomal RNA
Rfam family: Eukaryotic small subunit ribosomal RNA
Source: RNAcentral